GGGAUGAUGCACUGAUUUGUGGGCCAGGGGCUCUCCAAAGAAACUUCCCUUGCUGUCCGCAUAAGAGAGAAGAAAAAGUGGGAUACUGACUUGCUGCCCUCAGACUGGGGAAGGAGCAAAGAUUCUGAGUGCAUUAACCACACAUGCAGCAAGCUGCAGGUGCCCUAAGAAGAAGCCAGUCUGUCUCCCCUAUGACCCACCCAACCGCCCUCCUUAUCACCAAGCAGGCCACCCGCCACCACCAGGCUUGGGUCCACAAUGAAGCUACCCCAUCACAGGUGAAUUUCUCUGAUUGAUAAAGGUUUCACAGCUUUCUGGGGGUGAAGCCCCAAGAGACGUCUUAAAGACCCUCUUCCACAUCCACUGCUAAGAUCCCUUCCUCUGCUGCCUUCAAGAUGGAGAGGGAACAUAAAGCUUGAGCUCAACGCAGAGCUACAGUGUGCAGCCCAGGAGUGCCAAGCUAAGAUCUGCAGCCAACACUCUAUUGAGAGAAGAGCCAACACGUUCAGAGCAAUGAGAGAGAGAACAGCUGCAAUCGUGAAGAAGUACAGAGGAGCCACAUAUCUGAGCAAGAGCUUACCGACUGGCCAUUAUGCUUAAACACCACCUACUGGAUCACAGACCAAAACUUCAACACCAAAAAUGUUUUGCUAAUAUACAGCCCUGUGAAACCAAGGACAAAUUCAGCUACAAAUAGACCAGCACAAAGGUUCAGCCCUCUUAAAAUAUCCUGAAAAGAAAUCUACUGACUAUUCAAAUUACACUACAUUUAAAAUAACACCCACCUACACAGAUGGGAAAGAACCAUUACAAGAACUCUGGCAACUGAAAAAGUAAGAGGGGCUUAUUUCCUCCAAAUGGCCACACUAAUUUCCCAGAAAGGGUUUGCAGCAAGGCUGAAAUGGCUGAAAUGACAUAAAUAGAAUUCAGAAUAUGGAUAGAAACAAAGAUCAUUGAGAUUUGGGAGAAAGUUGACACCCAAUCCAAGAAAUCUAAGAUUUAAAACAAAAUAAUACAGGAGUUGAUAGACAAU
Molecule: long non-coding RNA, 1033 nt
Filed under: Homo sapiens (human)
Lineage: Eukaryota; Metazoa; Chordata; Mammalia; Primates; Hominidae
Description: HSALNT0284513
Source: RNAcentral